This 502-nucleotide ribosomal RNA is filed under the name Phrynocephalus mystaceus (secret toadhead agama). RNAcentral's name for it is "partial 16S ribosomal RNA". It matches the Rfam family "Bacterial large subunit ribosomal RNA", at positions 1816 to 2601 of the family's 2925-position model. The record is from RNAcentral. Lineage: Eukaryota; Metazoa; Chordata; Lepidosauria; Squamata; Agamidae.
AAGCCAUUAGCCCAACAAGUAUUAAAGGUAAUGCCUGCCCAGUGAGGGAAACCUUAAACGGCCGCGAUAACCCGUGCAAAGGUAGCGCAAUCACUUGUCUCCUAAAUAAAGACCUGUAUGAAUGGCCACAUGAGAAAGAAACUGUCUCUUGAAGACAGUCGGUGAAACUGAUCUACCUGUACAAAAGCAGGUAUACCAAAACAAGACAAAAAGACCCUGUGAAACUUUAAAUCUAACCCAAACACAUGGUACUAAUUUUAAGUUGGGGCAACUAAAGAGAAACAAAACCUCUAUACUACCACCAGACCAACCAGUCUAUUGGCCAAAACCAUAAGACCCAGUAUUACUGAUCAAUGGACCAAGCUACUCCAGGGAUAACAGCGCCACAUUCUUGAAGAGUUCUUAUCAACAAGAAUACCUACGACCUCGAUGUUGGACCAGGAUAUCCAAGUGGUGUAGAAGCUACUAAUGGUUCGUUUGUUCAACGAUUAAAAUCCUACGC